Non-coding RNA from Ornithorhynchus anatinus (platypus), 138 nucleotides. The record is from Rfam. NCBI's taxonomy places the organism in Eukaryota, Metazoa, Chordata, Mammalia, Monotremata, Ornithorhynchidae.
ACCCUCUCGGGAUCGCACCUGGAGAGUUUCCGGUACUCUACCGGCCUUGGCUACGGGAGGGAGAGUCAAGCAGAGGCCUGUCCGUUCCGUUCCUAGCUUGGCCAGUGGCUAGCGAGUGGAAGGCCAUCUGCUAAAAGU